Long non-coding RNA from Felis catus (domestic cat), 2419 nucleotides. RefSeq lists it as uncharacterized. The record is from RefSeq and is a predicted model, not a curated record. NCBI's taxonomy places the organism in Eukaryota, Metazoa, Chordata, Mammalia, Carnivora, Felidae. The transcript is spliced from 4 exons.
CGUAUUCCCAAGCUCCUCAAAAUUCCCUGUGCCCUCCUUAUUUACUUAAGUUCAUAGCCUUUUCUUCCAGGAGCUUCUGUUCUGAGCCAUGCUGGCCUGAGGUGGGGAAGCUUGGGAACUACUGAUGCAAAGUAUAGACCACAUAAUCACAAGGACAUCAGCACCAGAAGGUCAAGGGCUUGGUCCACUUCUGCAUCCCAGCACCAAGAAUGAGCCAGUGCUGCGUUGACAUGAGGACAUGUUGUCAAGACCCAGGGAGUCACCAAAAGGCUUAGAGCUUCCAGGCAUCUUGGUCUACACACUGUCCUUCAUCAGGCUUAUCAUUACUGUUCCUCAAAAAAAGCAAAACAGAGCCAAGACUAUGAUGAAGAUUUCACUGGAAUGCUUCCUUCAUGGCUGCAUUGUAUGGGGACAAGCUUCUACCAUUGAAACUAUGGUAUUUCAUCUAUUCACCUGCCUCUUUUACCAAUGAACCCUGAGUUCCUGAAGAUAGGGGACAGUUAAUCUUUAUAUCCCCAGCACCUAGCAUGGUGUCUAGAACACAGUAGAGACUCAAUAAAUGCUUGCCCAGGUACAUUUUAUGUCAUUUCAGAGUAAAUAGAAGUGAGCCCAGCUGAUUGGAUUCCUAGUAGUCUGUUAGUUUAUUUUUAGCCACAGUGCACCAAUUCCUACAGCUGUGAAACUAGGAAAACUGAGAAGAAAAUGAUGUACAAUGAUUUAUAUUGUGAUUUGAGGUAUUGAUAUAAUCUGUGAGAUUCAUCAAUUGCUCCUUGGCCAUAAAAUAGUUCUAUACCACUCUAGAGUAGUGUUCCCCAAACAGAGCUAUGAAAGAGCAUGUCCCCAGAUGAUGUAGUAAACUUGAUCCAUUGCAGUGGUGUUUGGGAGGGUCACAAUGUCUGUUAUAUGUAUUUGUAUCUAAUUCUUUCACCUUCUCAUUUUAAAAAAUAUUUUGGGACAUGCAUAAAAUAUUUAUGUAUAUACACAUGCACAUAUAAUAUACACAUAUAUACACAUAUACACGUAUAUGUGUUUCUGUAUAUGCAUGUGCACAUAUAAUAUUCAUGAUGUACUAGUGGAAUUUCAUGACCAAAAAUGUACAGUCACACUAGUUUAGAGAAUCGGACUAGAUGACACAAUGUUUUGCUAUUUCUUGUUAUGUGUAAGUUGGAUGAAAGAAAACAAACACUCAUUUAUUGAACUAAAAUUUAUGAGAAUUUUCUAUGCGCCGAACACUGUUUUCUAUGCGCCGAACAAGGUUCUAUGCGCCGAACCUUGGGCCUUUAUAGUGCUUGACAAAAUCUGUUGAAGUGACUUAAAUCUGGGUCAGUUGGAAUGCAUUUGGCUGCAUAUAACAAUAUGCAGCUAAUAGUAGCCUAAACAAAUAGGUCUUUGUUUUUCUUCUAAGUCUGGAGGUAGGCAGGCCCUUGCUAGUGUUGAUUUAACUGCUUACUGAUACCAUCAGGUGCUGAGAUUGCACUGUCCUUGUUAUAUUGGCUUUUCAUUCUUAUAUUUGUUGCCUCUUGAAACAAAAUGGCUUCCGCGUCUCCAUAAAUCAUUUUUCAUUCUACAUAAGAACAUAAGAGAAGGUAAUAAAAGACUGUGUCUGUUUUUAGGGGGAAAGCAAAAGCGUUUAUAGAAUCUCCCUCGGCAGACUUGGCCUUGCAUCCUUUUGGAAAAAACGGUCACAGGGCCACCUCUAACUGCAAGGGAAUCCGCAAAAUCAAACAUUUGGCUUUCUUGUUUCUAUGAUAUAUCAGGAAAAGGAAAGAAAAGUGGUUUGGGAAUGGAAGUAUUUAGAGAUUCAACCUAUAGUACCUGACUCAGGCACUGAAAAUAUGUUGCCUAAUAUUUUAGAUACUGGUGUGAACUAAUUUUAUUUCCUAUCAACCCAAAUGCUCCUUGAGACGAGAUAUGGCCUCCCUUCUCCUGCAAUAAAUAUUUGUUGACUGAAUGAAUCAAUAAAUGAGUUCAAUUCCAUCAGGACACCAUAAAUAUAGAUCCUUUCUAGUUUGCUCAAUCAGUUUCUGAGACACCGAAUCAAAUGAAAGUUAUUUUGCAAACCUCAGGAGGGAAGGUUUCCUGUUUUAAGCUCCUUGAGUUCCAUCAAACCCAACACCGCGCAAACAAUAGGUGUCCAAUUAAUGCUCCAUUCUGAGUGAAAAAAUAAAGUGAACUAGCUGGUCAUGUGGCAGUCCUACACUCCACCAUGAACGAGGCCACCAAUGAUAUCUGAACAUUUCAGAACAAUAAGAACAACAACAAAACUAGCUUUCUCAAUACUCAGAUACUUGAUCUUGGAUAUAUUAAGUCAACAGAUACUUAACUUUGGAAAACUUUCCAUUUCAUAAGCUUAGCACCAAUUUCACUAUGUUUCUGGUUUAAUGGUAUGAAUUUUCCAAUAAAGUCUCAAUUUAUAAUC